UAAAAUCAUCAUCCUCUUUGCCGUGUGCCUACAAUUGAAUUCCGAAUACACAAACGAAGAGAUGCCGUCAAUCCUCAAAAUCUGUUGGUAAUCCAUCUGACUCAUUGCCUCUCUGACACUCAUACUUGUCACCCUCUUUUACCCAAUCUCACUAAAAGCAAAAACCCUAGAAAACCCUCAAUCCUAUUAUUCCCAAACGAAGGAGAAACGACUGAGAGAUCUAGUGUCAAAUAUAGGACAACAAAUGUAAUGAGAAGAUUUUUUUGUGAACUUUUUGGCUUUUAAUUGUGAAAUCUGGCCUAAUUCUUUAGUUCAAGUUAAUAGUUCUUGUUUGAUUGAGUUCAACGAGGUUGACUAUUUGAAGACAUGCUUUUAUAAUAUUUUCUCAGGUUCUUUUUCCUGUUUUCCCCUUCCUCUGCCACAACACAAUGAGAGAUUCAGGAAUUUGGCUAUUGCUUGCUCGUGGAGAGUGUUAACCGUGUAAGAAGAAUCUUUCUCUGUUCCAGUUAUUGCUCUUGUUGAAAAGUUUAUCCAUCUUUAAAGUGAUUUAGGCCUUGUCCCGGAUGAAACUUAUAUUACUAAUUCAUUUUCCUUUGAUUUGUCUUUAAUACCAUCUCAUUAUGCAUAAGUUUGCUCGGUACACAGCAUAGAUACAUCAAAGGGGAUAGAACUAUUUCAUAAUUUUAUCUAGUGCGGCG
RNAcentral lists this long non-coding RNA (698 nucleotides) under Nicotiana tabacum (common tobacco). RNAcentral's name for it is "long non-coding RNA (NTAB_LNC005172)". Lineage: Eukaryota; Viridiplantae; Streptophyta; Magnoliopsida; Solanales; Solanaceae. The record is from RNAcentral.